AUUGAACGCUGGCGGCAGGCUUAACACAUGCAAGUCGGGCGAGUGGCGGACGUGUGAGUAAGGUAUCGGAACCUACCGGGUGGUGGGGGAUAACUACACGAAAGCGUAGCUAAUACCGCAUAGUAUUUGAUGUGCCGAUGUGGGAUUAGCUAGUUGGUGGGGUAAGGGCCCACCCAGGCGAGGAUCCCUAGCUGGUCUGAGAGGAUGACCGGCCACACUGGGACUGAGACACGGCCCAGACUCCUACGGGAGGCAGCAGUGGGGAAUUUUGGACAAUGGGCGCAAGCCUGAUCCAGCCAUGCCGCGUGUGUGAAGAAGGCCUUCGGUUUGUAAAGCACUUUUGUCAGGGAAGCGGUACCUGAAGAAUAAGCACCGGCUAACUACGUGCCAGCAGCCGCGGUAAUUC
Molecule: ribosomal RNA, 406 nt
Filed under: uncultured bacterium
Lineage: Bacteria
Description: partial 16S ribosomal RNA
Rfam family: Bacterial small subunit ribosomal RNA
Source: RNAcentral